RNAcentral lists this long non-coding RNA (106 nucleotides) under Monodelphis domestica (gray short-tailed opossum). RNAcentral describes it as "lncRNA (ENSMODG00000032927.2)". The record is from RNAcentral. Lineage: Eukaryota; Metazoa; Chordata; Mammalia; Didelphimorphia; Didelphidae.
UGAACCUGAAGAAGCUCCCUUUGGUUACUGAGAGAGACUUUUCCAUUUCCCUUUUAUUUGGAAUUAGAUGUUUGUGAAAAGAAAUAUGGAAGGAGUGUGCCCAGAA